This 74-nucleotide transfer RNA is filed under the name Capra hircus (goat). It matches the Rfam family "tRNA". From Rfam's summary of the family: Transfer RNA (tRNA) molecules are approximately 80 nucleotides in length. Their secondary structure includes four short double-helical elements and three loops (D, anti-codon, and T loops). Further hydrogen bonds mediate the characteristic L-shaped molecular structure. tRNAs have two regions of fundamental functional importance: the anti-codon, which is responsible for specific mRNA codon recognition, and the 3' end, to which the tRNAs corresponding amino acid is attached (by aminoacyl-tRNA synthetases). tRNAs cope with the degeneracy of the genetic code in two manners: having more than one tRNA (with a specific anti-codon) for a particular amino acid; and 'wobble' base-pairing, i.e. permitting non-standard base-pairing at the 3rd anti-codon position. The record is from Rfam by way of RNAcentral. Lineage: Eukaryota; Metazoa; Chordata; Mammalia; Artiodactyla; Bovidae. RNAcentral also lists the same sequence under 1 other name.
UCCCUGGUGGUUCCAGUGGUUAAGAAUCUGCGUUUCUACUGCAGUGGGCCUGAGUUUGAUUCCUGGUCAGGGAA